CCUACGGGAGGCAGCAGUGGGGGAUAUUGCACAAUGGGGGAAACCCUGAUGCAGCGACGCCGCGUGUGGGAAGACGGUCCUCUGGAUUGUAAACCACUGUCCCCAGGGACGAAAAUGACGGUACCGGGGGAGGAAGCUCCGUCUAACUACGUGCCAGCAGCCGCGGUAAUACGUAGGGAGCGAGCGUUGUCCGGAAUUACUGGGUGAAAAGGGCGCGGAGGCGGGGAUGCAAGGUGGGUGUCAAAACUACCGGCUAAACUGGGAGUCGCACUCAAAACUGCAGCCCUUGAGUGAAGUAGAGGCAGGCGGAAUUCCUAGUGUAGCGGUGAAAUGCGUAGAUAUUAGGAGGAACACCAGUGGCGAAGGCGGCCUGCUGGGCUUUUACUGACGCUGAGGCUCGAAAGUGUGGGGAGCAAACAGGAUUAGAUACCCGAGUAGUC
RNAcentral lists this ribosomal RNA (440 nucleotides) under uncultured bacterium. RNAcentral's name for it is "partial 16S ribosomal RNA". It matches the Rfam family "Bacterial small subunit ribosomal RNA", at positions 338 to 795 of the family's 1533-position model. The record is from RNAcentral.